GAUGAACGCUGGCGGCGUGCCUAAUACAUGCAAGUCGAGCGAACGGACGAGAAGCUUGCUUCUCUGAUGUUAGCGGCGGACGGGUGAGUAACACGUGGAUAACCUACCUAUAAGACUGGGAUAACUUCGGGAAACCGGAGCUAAUACCGGAUAAUAUUUUGAACCGCAUGGUUCAAAAGUGAAAGACGGUCUUGCUGUCACUUAUAGAUGGAUCCGCGCUGCAUUAGCUAGUUGGUAAGGUAACGGCUUACCAAGGCAACGAUGCAUAGCCGACCUGAGAGGGUGAUCGGCCACACUGGAACUGAGACACGGUCCAGACUCCUACGGGAGGCAGCAGUAGGGAAUCUUCCGCAAUGGGCGAAAGCCUGACGGAGCAACGCCGCGUGAGUGAUGAAGGUCUUCGGAUCGUAAAACUCUGUUAUUAGGGAAGAACAUAUGUGUAAGUAACUGUGCACAUCUUGACGGUACCUAAUCAGAAAGCCACGGCUAACUACGUGCCAGCAGCCGCGGUAAUACGUAGGUGGCAAGCGUUAUCCGGAAUUAUUGGGCGUAAAGCGCGCGUAGGCGGUUUUUUAAGUCUGAUGUGAAAGCCCACGGCUCAACCGUGGAGGGUCAUUGGAAACUGGAAAACUUGAGUGCAGAAGAGGAAAGUGGAAUUCCAUGUGUAGCGGUGAAAUGCGCAGAGAUAUGGAGGAACACCAGUGGCGAAGGCGACUUUCUGGUCUGUAACUGACGCUGAUGUGCGAAAGCGUGGGGAUCAAACAGGAUUAGAUACCCUGGUAGUCCACGCCGUAAACGAUGAGUGCUAAGUGUUAGGGGGUUUCCGCCCCUUAGUGCUGCAGCUAACGCAUUAAGCACUCCGCCUGGGGAGUACGACCGCAAGGUUGAAACUCAAAGGAAUUGACGGGGACCCGCACAAGCGGUGGAGCAUGUGGUUUAAUUCGAAGCAACGCGAAGAACCUUACCAAAUCUUGACAUCCUUUGACAACUCUAGAGAUAGAGCCUUCCCCUUCGGGGGGGCAAAGUGACAGGUGGUGCAUGGUUGUCGUCAGCUCGUGUCGUGAGAUGUUGGGUUAAGUCCCGCAACGAGCGCAACCCUUAAGCUUAGUUGCCAUCAUUAAGUUGGGCACUCUAAGUUGACUGCCGGUGACAAACCGGAGGAAGGUGGGGAUGACGUCAAAUCAUCAUGUCCCUUAUGAUUUGGGCUACACACGUGCUACAAUGGACAAUACAAAGGGCAGCGAAACCGCGAGGUCAAGCAAAUCCCAUAAAGUUGUUCUCAGUUCGGAUUGUAGUCUGCAACUCGACUACAUGAAGCUGGAAUCGCUAGUAAUCGUAGAUCAGCAUGCUACGGUGAAUACGUUCCCGGGUCU
Molecule: ribosomal RNA, 1373 nt
Filed under: uncultured bacterium
Lineage: Bacteria
Description: bacterial SSU rRNA
Rfam family: Bacterial small subunit ribosomal RNA
Source: RNAcentral